UUUGAGUUAUUUUGAAACUGGUUAAGGACAUUAAUAUCUGAUCUAAAAGGUAUUAUGAUGGAACACUUGAGUUAGUUUCUAGCAGAGGAGAAUGUUAUUGAUUCUAUGGAUGAUCUAGAGGUAGCUAUGUAAUUUUCACCAGUGGGUUCUUCUAUUGUUGACAAUUUUUGGGAGAACCUUGGGCAUCUUAAAUUUAGCGUUAACGGUUGGUGAUUCCUUGAUUGGUCUUAGAUUUGGAAUAUUUUAACAUGGAUCUCCUAUUUUGUUG
RNAcentral lists this long non-coding RNA (268 nucleotides) under Phoenix dactylifera (date palm). RNAcentral describes it as "long non-coding RNA (PDAC_LNC011935)". Lineage: Eukaryota; Viridiplantae; Streptophyta; Magnoliopsida; Arecales; Arecaceae. The record is from RNAcentral.